ACAUGUAAUAACUCGCUGGAGAAACACAGUCCACAUGCCCUUGAACAAUAUGUUGUUAACAAGUCACUUAUUCUGAGGAACGUCAAGGAAACUGCCUCUUUUCAAUGACCUCUAGUGACGAAAUGAAAAGUAAUUCUGGAUAGUAUAAUACAUGGACGCAAGAGUCACUGGUAAGGAAGUACCUAUAUGAGUUCCGUCGAAAGUAGAGGUGGUUACUCGGGGACAGUGGGGAGCAGCAGCCCCUCAAUGCCGGGAGACCCUCAAGUAUCCUGCUCAAAGAGUUGUCGUACACCACACGGCACUGCAUUGCGGGGGCAUCCAAUAAUGUAUGGACCAGCUCAUCCACAUAGAGAGAAUGCAUAUGCAGGAUAGGAACUUUGAUGACAUUGGAUACAAGUGAGUGACCUCUCCUUUCCAGAUGAGAGCCCCAGUCCAGCAGCCCUGUCAUCUGUUAAACAACUCCUGCAGUGUGGGGUUUCCCAGGGACAUUUUCACCCUGUAUUUAUCCUACUUGGGCACAGAGACUUGAGGGAUACCGAAUGUCCUAGGGAGAGACUAUAUGCUGCACUAAAACAUCUCAAAUUUCCCUGAACAUAACAUCAUCCACAGACUCAAUUGCUACUGGUUCGAAAGACAGAGUUGGCUGGUGGAAGAGAUUACCCAGAACAUCGUAGCCAUGGCCGAUACUAGCAGGGUUACCUAAACUCGGUCCUGGAAAUUGAUGUGGCAAUUGAUGUGCAAACAGAUUCUGAAAUGAUCUGUUGUAAGUUGCCACCCAUUCACAGUGUAAUUGUAGAGGUCAAAUAUUAAAGUUGUAAAAUGCAUCUGUUUAGUAGAAAUAUUAAGACUAAACGUUAUUAUUUAUUUUGGUAUUCACAUAAAAUUGUCCACAUACCAUUAUAUUCCUUUUUCUAUGAGUGUGCUGCUAUAAAGUUUUCUAGGAAAUAAGAACUGAGAAAGGUGUAAGAGUAACUCACAUGAAUAGAGUAAAUACACACAAAAAAAUAUGCUGCUGAAAAAAUGCUAACUAUUGACAGAAAACUGGCUUUUGGGAUUUAAUUGAAAUGGCUUCGUAAAUCACACAAAAAAAUAAAUAAAACAUAAUUUGUCAAAGGGAGAAAAGCUUGUAGGCCUACCUGUAAAUGU
Oncorhynchus masou masou (cherry salmon) is the source of this 1146-nucleotide long non-coding RNA. RefSeq lists it as uncharacterized. NCBI's taxonomy places the organism in Eukaryota, Metazoa, Chordata, Actinopteri, Salmoniformes, Salmonidae. The transcript has 3 exons. The record is from RefSeq and is a predicted model, not a curated record.